AGUGAACGCUGGCGGUAGGCCUAACACAUGCAAGUCGAACGGCAGCACAGUAAGAGCUUGCUCUUACGGGUGGCGAGUGGCGGACGGGUGAGGAAUACAUCGGAAUCUACUUUUUCGUGGGGGAUAACGUAGGGAAACUUACGCUAAUACCGCAUACGACCUACGGGUGAAAGCAGGGGAUCUUCGGACCUUGCGCGAUUGAAUGAGCCGAUGUCGGAUUAGCUAGUUGGCGGGGUAAAGGCCCACCAAGGCGACGAUCCGUAGCUGGUCUGAGAGGAUGAUCAGGCAAAAUGGAACUGGGACAAGGUCCAGAAUCCUAAGGGAGGCAGCAGUGGGGAAAAUUGGACAAAGGGCGGAAGCCUGAUCCAGCCAUACCGCGUGGGUGAAGAAGGCCUUCGGGGUGGAAAGCCCUUUUGUUGGGAAAGAAAAGCAGCAGGUUAAUACCCCGCUGUUCUGACGGUACCCAAAGAAUAAGCACCGGCUAACUUCGUG
RNAcentral lists this ribosomal RNA (492 nucleotides) under uncultured bacterium. RNAcentral describes it as "partial 16S ribosomal RNA". It matches the Rfam family "Bacterial small subunit ribosomal RNA", at positions 29 to 507 of the family's 1533-position model. The record is from RNAcentral.